Molecule: ribosomal RNA, 354 nt
Filed under: Vanzosaura rubricauda
Lineage: Eukaryota; Metazoa; Chordata; Lepidosauria; Squamata; Gymnophthalmidae
Description: partial large subunit ribosomal RNA
Rfam family: Bacterial large subunit ribosomal RNA
Source: RNAcentral
AAACUGAUCUCCCAGUACAAAAGCUGGGAUAUGAACACAAGACGAAAAGACCCUGUGGAACUUAAAGUUUAUGACCACAUAUAUGGCCAGCCACUUUUAGUUGGGGCAACUUUGGAAAAAAACAAAACUUCCAAUAACAACAAAGGCAGACAUGCCAACCAUGCAACCACACCAGACCCAGUAUUACUGAAUAAAGAAAAAAGCUACCCCAGGGAUAACAGCGCCAUCCCCUCAUAGAGCCCCCAUCGACGAGCGGGGUUUACGACCUCGAUGUUGGAUCAGGGCCCCCAAGCAGUGCAGCAGCUGCUAAAGGUUUGUUUGUUCGAACAAUUAAUGCCCGAUACGUGANCUGAG